RNAcentral lists this long non-coding RNA (1213 nucleotides) under Macaca fascicularis (crab-eating macaque). RNAcentral describes it as "lncRNA (ENSMFAG00000051596.1)". Lineage: Eukaryota; Metazoa; Chordata; Mammalia; Primates; Cercopithecidae. The record is from RNAcentral.
GGAGAGUCAGCAUUUUGACCCCCUCCCACCAAACUGGAAGGAUGUCAGCAAUCUUUCGCUUAUUAUAUUCCUAGGAAAACAUGCUGAGAUAACGCUACAACGGCUCAGGGUGUAACUUCAGUUGAUAGGCACAGGAAGUAAAAGUUCACACUUCUCAGUUCCAAAGGUUUUAAACUCUGAAAUUCUGUCCUUUGUCUUUUCUCAUUCUUCUGUUGGUUGGGAUGCAAAGAUGAGUUUAUUUUAAGAUUCCUCAGGGCAGCAUUUCAUUCCUUGACUCUUCUAUUCUUUGCCGCAUUACCUCACUGCAUUAGUACUUGUAUCUCCCUCUGAUGGCAUCUAGUUUCCUUUCCAUUCACAGUGGCCGGGGAUCAUAUCUCUGAUCCACUUAGAAACACAGUGAACUCUACCCCUGAGAAUGUAAACGCUUUCUCAGUCACAUCCAUUGAUCUUCGGGGCUCUAUUUUUGGGUUUCCAUUCACGCACUCAUUUGACGUUUGGGAUAUUUGCUGUUCCUUUGAGGGGCAAAUAUUAAGAUGGGUGCUAGGAACUAGAUAAAGAAUAUUUCUGUGAUUUUGUAGAAGCAAGUUUUGAUAUAGGUAUUGGUGAGAGUCUGUAUGAAUUCCAUACCCCUAUAGGUAAAAUGGAGAAAAGCAGACUACGGUAAAUUUAUCUUGCUGUACACGCUGAAAGAAAUGAACACUUAAAAAAAAAAGGAUUUUAACACUAUAGUUUAUUGAAGCUUGUUAUUAUAAAGCCUAAGUGUAAAAUACAUGAAUAAAUAAAACAAACAAGCAAAUAGUCUCAGAAAUUUAGCGAAUUAUUCCUAGAUUGAAAUUCCUUUUUCUAAAGAACAACAGAGCAUAUUCCUUUGAAGGAAUAUGCUAUAAUUUGAAGGCAACACAUUUUAUGAUGCCAUAGGAAAUAAGGAAAAGGAAGCCCAGAAUUGGAUUUUAAAAAUUCUGCAGCUGUAAUAAUGAACUGUUGCCAUGAGAAAAACACCUAAAUUAGAGGAGAGUGACUGCCGGUCUUAAUAAGAGGCAUAGUGGAAAGCACUUCUUGAAAAAGAAGUAAAAUAAAGGAAAAAUUGCAUUGUUGCAGGGCUAAUUUGAUGAGAGGACCUCAGUAAAUUGUGAUUACACAGUUAAUAAACCCUAGAGCUUUUUUUGGAAGACAAAAUUAGUUGUUUGGUGGUAAAAAAAAAAAAAAGAAAAAA